UGGGGAAUUUUGCACACUGGGGGAAACCCUGAUGCAGCGACGCCGCGUGAUUUAGAAGGCCUUCGGGUUGGAAAAAUCUUUUCUAUGGGAAGAAAAUGACAGUACCAUAGGAAUAAGGACCGGCUAAUUACGUGCCAGCAGCCGCGGUAAUACGUAAGGUCCGAGCGUUGUCCGGAAUCAUUGGGCGUAAAGGGUACGUAGGCGGGUAAGCAAGUUAGAAGUGAAAUCCUAUAGCUCAACUAUAGUAAGCUUUUAAAACUGCUCAUCUUGAGGUAUGGAAGGGAAAGUGGAAUUCCUAGUGUAGCGGUGAAAUGAGCAGAUAUUAGGAGGAAUACCGGGGGCGAAGGCGACUUUCUGGCCAUAACCUGACGCUGAGGUACGAAAGCGUGGGUAGCAAACAGA
This 402-nucleotide ribosomal RNA is filed under the name bacterium. Its description in RNAcentral is "partial 16S ribosomal RNA". It matches the Rfam family "Bacterial small subunit ribosomal RNA", at positions 355 to 776 of the family's 1533-position model. The record is from RNAcentral.